AGAUGAAAGAUGUAAGUGAAUGGAUAGACACUGCAUGUUCAUGGAUCGAAAAGACUCAGUAUUGCUAAGAUUAUAAUUCUCCCCAAAAUGUUCUUAGAUUCUACGCAAUCUCUAUCAAAGCUGUAGCAGUUGGCUAGAUGCAGUGGUCCACACCUAUAAUCCUAGCCUUUUAUCGGGCCAAGGUAGGAGGAUAAUUUAAAGCUGGGAGUUUGAGACCAACCUGGACAACACAGUGAGAGACCCCUAUCUCUACAAAAAUAAAAAUAAAACAACUAGCUGGGCACGGUGGUGCGUGCUUGUACUCCUAGCUACUCUGGAGGCUAAGGCGGAGGAUCACUUGAAGCCAGGAGUUCAGGGUUACUGUGAGUUAUGAUCAUGCCACAGCACUCCAGCCUGGAUGACAGAGUGAGACCAUAUCUCUAAAACAAACAAGCAAAAAACUGCAGCAGGCUUUUUGGCAAAAAUGAAAAAUGAAUCAGCUGGUCCUAAAUUUUAUAUGUAAUAUCCAGGAACAUUUUGAAAAAGAAGAACAAAGCUGGAAGACUUACAAUACCCAGUUUCAAAACUUACUAUAAACAGAUAGUAAUCAAGACAAUGUAGUAUUGGUGUAAAGAUAGACAUGUAUAAAACUGAGAGUUCAGAAAUUAUGGUCCAUUGAUUUUUGAUGAAGUAGCCAAGACAUUUCAAUGGAGAAAGGACCAUCUUUUCAACAAAUAGUAUUGGGACAAUUGAAUAUCCAUAUGCAAAAAAGUGAACCUAGGCUCUUACUUCACAUUAUAUACAAAAUGGAACUCAAAAUGGAUCUCAGACCUACAUGUGAGAAGUAAAACUACAAAAGUUCUAAAAGAAAACACAGGAGAGGCCAGGCGCAGUGGUCACGCCUGUAAUCCCAGCACUUUGGGAGGCCAAGGUGGGCAGAUCAUGAGGUCAGGAGAUCAAGACCAUCCUGGCUAACAUGGUGAAACCCCGUCUCUACUAAAAAUACAAAAAAUUAGCCAGGUGUGGUGGCGGGCGCCUGUAGUCCCAGCUACUCAGGAGGCUGAGGCAGGAGAAUGGUGUGACCCUGGGAGGCAGAGCUUGCAGAGAGCUGAGAUCGUGCCACUGCACUCCAGCCUGGGCGCGACAGAGCGAGACUCUGUCUCAAAAAAAAAAAAAGAAAAAUAGAGUUUCAUAUUAAAAAAGAAAACACAGGAGAAAAUCUUUAUGACCUUGGGCUAGGCAGAGUUCUUAAAUAUGACAUCAAAAGCACAGUUCACAAAAAUAGCUGACAAAUUGGAUUUUAUCAAAAUUAAAACUUUUGGGUUUAAAAGACAUCCAUAAUAAAUUGAAAAGAUGUAGACUGAAAGAAAAUAUUUAUAACUGAUGUAUGUGAUAAAGGGCUUAUAUCCAAAAUAUACAAAGAACUCAUAACUUAGUAAUAAGAAGACUAAUAAUCUAAUUUUAAAAUGAAGUAAACAUUUGAAUAGACAUUUCACCAAAGAGGAUAUGUAAAUGGCUAAUAAUCACUUGAUAAAAUGCGCAACAUCAUUAGUCAUGAGGGAAGUGCAAGUCAAAACCACAAUAAGAUAGCAUUAACACACCCACUAAGCUAUAACCAAAAAGUCAGACAAUACCUAGUGAUGGAGGAGUUAUGGGAAAACCUUCACAUAUUGCUGAUGAGAAUAUAAAAUAGAACAGCCACAUUGUGAAAUUGUUUGGCAGUUUCUUAAAAAGCUAAAUAGAUUUGCCAUACAACUCAGCGAUUCUACUAAGUAUCUACCCAAGAGAAAUGAAAACAUAUAUUCAUGCAAACACUUGUAUAGAAAUGUUCAUAGCAACAUCAUUCAUAAUAGCCAAAAACUGGAGACAACCCAAAUGUUCAUCAACUGAUGAAUGAAUAAACAAAAUGUAGUUUAUCUAUAUACAAUGGACUAUUAUUCAGCCAUAAAAAGGAAUGAAGUACUGACACAUGCUACAACAUGGGUGAACUUUGAAAACAUUAUGCUAAGUGAAAGAAGCCAGUCACAAAAAACUGUAUAGUGUAUGAUUUCAUUUAUAUGAAAUGACCAGGAAAGGAAAAUUUUUAGAGACAGAAAGCAGAUCAGUAGUUGUCUGAAACUGAAGGUAACAAGUGAGGAUUGACUGCAAAUUCUCUUUUUGUUUGUUUGUUUUGUUUCUUUUUUUUUUGACUGCACAUUCUCACAAGUAAUUUUCUGGGUGUUAGAAAUGUUCUAAAACUGGAUUGUGACAGUGGUUGCACAAAGCUAUCAAUUUACUAAAAAUUAUUCACUGUACACUUAUAAUGGGUGAAGUCUUAUGGUACAUAAAAUAUAUUU
RNAcentral lists this long non-coding RNA (2315 nucleotides) under Homo sapiens (human). RNAcentral's name for it is "non-protein coding lnc-SPPL2A-1:9". Lineage: Eukaryota; Metazoa; Chordata; Mammalia; Primates; Hominidae. The record is from RNAcentral.